This 497-nucleotide ribosomal RNA is filed under the name uncultured bacterium. RNAcentral describes it as "partial 16S ribosomal RNA". It matches the Rfam family "Bacterial small subunit ribosomal RNA", at positions 28 to 507 of the family's 1533-position model. The record is from RNAcentral.
GAUGAACGCUGGCGGCGUGCCUAAUACAUGCAAGUCGAGCGAACGGACGAGAAGCUUGCUUCUCUGAUGUUAGCGGCGGACGGGUGAGUAACACGUGGAUAACCUACCUAUAAGACUGGGAUAACUUCGGGAAACCGGAGCUAAUACCGGAUAAUAUUUUGAACCGCAUGGUUCAAAAGUGAAAGACGGUCUUGCUGUCACUUAUAGAUGGAUCCGCGCUGCAUUAGCUAGUGGGUAAGGUAACGGCUUACCAAGGCAACGAUGCAUAGCCGACCUGAGAGGGUGAUCGGCCCCCCUGGAACUGGGACACGGUCCGGACUCCUACGGGAGGCAGCAGUAGGGAAUCUUCCGCAAUGGGCGAAAGCCUGACGGAGCACCGCCGCGUGAGUGAUGAAGGUCUUCGGAUCGUAAACCUCUGUUAUUAGGGAGGAACAUAUGUGUAAGUAACUGUGCACAUCUUGACGGUACCUAAUCAGAAAGCCACGGCUAACUACGUG